RNAcentral lists this ribosomal RNA (432 nucleotides) under uncultured bacterium. Its description in RNAcentral is "partial 16S ribosomal RNA". It matches the Rfam family "Bacterial small subunit ribosomal RNA", at positions 29 to 507 of the family's 1533-position model. The record is from RNAcentral.
AACGAACGCUGGCGGCAUGCCUAACACAUGCAAGUCGAACGAGACCUUCGGGUCUAGUGGCGCACGGGUGCGUAACGCGUGGGAACCUGCCCUUAGGUUCGGAAUAACUCCCCGAAAGGGGUGCUAAUACCGGAUAAUGUCUUCGGACCAAAGAUUUAUCGCCUUUGGAUGGGCCCGCGUUGGAUUAGCUAGUUGGUAGGGUAAAAGCCUACCAAGGCGACGAUCCAUAGCUGGUCUGAGAGGAUGAUCAGCCACACUGGGACUGAGACACGGCCCAGACUCCUACGGGAGGCAGCAGUGGGGAAUAUUGGACAAUGGGCGAAAGCCUGAUCCAGCAAUGCCGCGUGAGUGAUGAAGGCCUUAGGGUUGUAAAGCUCUUUUACCCGGGAUGAUAAUGACAGUACCGGGAGAAUAAGCUCGGCUAACUCCGUG